RNAcentral lists this ribosomal RNA (253 nucleotides) under uncultured microorganism. RNAcentral describes it as "partial 16S ribosomal RNA". It matches the Rfam family "Bacterial small subunit ribosomal RNA", at positions 524 to 776 of the family's 1533-position model. The record is from RNAcentral.
UACGUAGGGUGCGAGCGUUAAUCGGAUUUACUGGGCGUAAAGCGUGCGCAGGCGGCCCGUUAAGACAGGUGUGAAAUCCCUGGGCUCAACCUAGGAAUUGCGCUUGUGACUGGCGGGCUCGAGUACGGUAGAGGGGGGUGGAAUUCCUGGUGUAGCAGUGAAAUGCGUAGAGAUCAGGAGGAACACCGAUGGCGAAGGCAGCCCCCUGGGCCUGUACUGACGCUCAUGCACGAAAGCAUGGGGAGCAAACAGG